Molecule: ribosomal RNA, 875 nt
Filed under: uncultured bacterium
Lineage: Bacteria
Description: bacterial SSU rRNA
Rfam family: Bacterial small subunit ribosomal RNA
Source: RNAcentral
CAUGCAAGUCGAGGGGCAGCAUGGUCUUAGCUUGCUAAGGCUGAUGGCGACCGGCGCACGGGUGAGUAACACGUAUCCAACCUGCCGUCUACUCUUGGCCAGCCUUCUGAAAGGAAGAUUAAUCCAGGAUGGGAUCAUGAGUUCACAUGUCCGCAUGAUUAAAGGUAUUUUCCGGUAGACGAUGGGGAUGCGUUCCAUUAGAUAGUAGGCGGGGUAACGGCCCACCUAGUCAACGAUGGAUAGGGGUUCUGAGAGGAAGGUCCCCCACAUUGGAACUGAGACACGGUCCAAACUCCUACGGGAGGCAGCAGUGAGGAAUAUUGGUCAAUGGGCGAUGGCCUGAACCAGCCAAGUAGCGUGAAGGAUGACUGCCCUAUGGGUUGUAAACUUCUUUUAUAAAGGAAUAAAGUCGGGUAUGCAUACCCGUUUGCAUGUACUUUAUGAAUAAGGAUCGGCUAACUCCGUGCCAGCAGCCGCGGUAAUACGGAGGAUCCGAGCGUUAUCCGGAUUUAUUGGGUUUAAAGGGAGCGUAGAUGGAUGUUUAAGUCAGUUGUGAAAGUUUGCGGCUCAACCGUAAAAUUGCAGUUGAUACUGGAUGUCUUGAGUGCAGUUGAGGCAGGCGGAAUUCGUGGUGUAGCGGUGAAAUGCUUAGAUAUCACGAAGAACUCCGAUUGCGAAGGCAGCCUGCUAAGCUGCAACUGACAUUGAGGCUCGAAAGUGUGGGUAUCAAACAGGAUUAGAUACCCUGGUAGUCCACACGGUAAACGAUGAAUACUCGCUGUUUGCGAUAUACGGCAAGCGGCCAAGCGAAAGCGUUAAGUAUUCCACCUGGGGAGUACGCCGGCAACGGUGAAACUCAAAGGAAUUGACGGGGG